UAGGAUCUCAUAGCCCACCCCACAGUGUGU
RNAcentral lists this non-coding RNA (30 nucleotides) under Mus musculus (house mouse). The record is from RNAcentral. Lineage: Eukaryota; Metazoa; Chordata; Mammalia; Rodentia; Muridae.